This 72-nucleotide transfer RNA is filed under the name Pangasianodon hypophthalmus (striped catfish). It matches the Rfam family "tRNA". Rfam says of the family: Transfer RNA (tRNA) molecules are approximately 80 nucleotides in length. The record is from Rfam by way of RNAcentral. Lineage: Eukaryota; Metazoa; Chordata; Actinopteri; Siluriformes; Pangasiidae.
UACUUGGAGGACUAGUGGUUAGGCCUUAGCGCUCUCACCGCUGCCGCCUAGGUUUGAUUCCUGGCCAGGGAA